UGCUCUCUGGCCCAGGCUCUGUUGAAG
This 27-nucleotide non-coding RNA is filed under the name Rattus norvegicus (Norway rat). The record is from RNAcentral. Lineage: Eukaryota; Metazoa; Chordata; Mammalia; Rodentia; Muridae.